CUACGUGACGUACAGAUCCGCGACAAAUACAAAGUUUCGCUGUCCACUCAGACAGUCUCCUUUGUAUUUGCACGGCGUACCAAUAAUACAUCAGGAUCUCAACAACAAUCUACAUUUACCAAUCUACAAAUAGUUCAUGCGAUGCUUUUCCAUACAGCUAGUGAUCCUUAGAGAUGAUGCAUGCCUCUAAACACUCCUUAGGUGCUGGAUGAUGCAAUACACAGUACAACAAUCAUCCUAUUUAAAAGUGCUCCCCACUUAGAAGCUUUGUUUUUAAAAUCUACAUAAUUAUACAUUCGAAAACUUUUUAAAACUGUUUCCCAUACAGAAACUUCACUUUUGAAAACGAACUACCUCGAGGGAUAGAAAACCACAAAAUAUAAAUACACAAAUCCGAGAACCAAUUAUUCAUAAAACUAAAACCACAAAUCUAAAAUCUCCAAUCGUAUGCAUAAUGGAAAUCACCAACUCAAACAAUUCACGAAUAUUCAAACAUCAAUAAUAAUCAUCUAACUGAACCAUUUAAUUAUUAAAACUACUAAGUGCGGAAAUGAAAUAUAACCAGGGUGACGGUUGUUACUGCAGU
RNAcentral lists this long non-coding RNA (586 nucleotides) under Ananas comosus (pineapple). Its description in RNAcentral is "long non-coding RNA (ACOM_LNC022289)". The record is from RNAcentral. Lineage: Eukaryota; Viridiplantae; Streptophyta; Magnoliopsida; Poales; Bromeliaceae.